RNAcentral lists this ribosomal RNA (445 nucleotides) under uncultured bacterium. RNAcentral describes it as "partial 16S ribosomal RNA". It matches the Rfam family "Bacterial small subunit ribosomal RNA", at positions 354 to 796 of the family's 1533-position model. The record is from RNAcentral.
GUGAGGAAUAUUGGUCAAUGGGCGCAAGCCUGAACCAGCCAUGCCGCGUGCAGGAAGACGGUCCUAUGGAUUGUAAACUGCUUUUAUUUGGGAAUAAACUCCGGUACGUGUACCGGCCUGAAGGUACCAAAUGAAUAAGCACCGGCUAACUCCGUGCCAGCAGCCGCGGUAAUACGGAGGGUGCAAGCGUUAUCCGGAAUCAUUGGGUUUAAAGGGUCCGCAGGCGGUCUUAUAAGUCAGUGGUGAAAGCCUACAGCUCAACUGUAGAACUGCCAUUGAUACUGUAGGACUUGAAUUCGAUCGAAGUGGGCGGAAUGUGACAUGUAGCGGUGAAAUGCUUAGAUAUGACAUAGAACACCGAUAGCGAAGGCAGCUCACUAAGUCUGAAUUGACGCUCAUGGACAAAAGCGCGGGUAGCAAACAGGAUUAGAAACCCUGGUAGUCC